ACUCCUACGGGAGGCAGCAGUGGGGAAUAUUGCACAAUGGGGGAAAACCCUGAUGCAGCCAUGCCGCGUGUGUGAAGAAGGCCUCGGUUGUAAGACACUUCUAGUAGGAGGAAGGUAGUGUAGUUAAUACCUGCAUUAUUUGACGUUACCUACAGAAGAAGCACCGGCUAACUCCGUGCCAGCAGCCGCGGUAAUACGGAGGGGUAGCGAGCGUUAAUCGGAAUUACUAGGGCGUAAAGCGCAUGCAGGCGGCCUGUUAAGUCAGAUGUGAAAGCCCGGGGGCUUAACCUCGGAAUUGCAUUUGAAACUGGCAGGCUAGAGUCUUGUAGAGGGGGUUAGGAAUUUACAGGUGUAGCGGUGAAAUGCGUAGAGAUCUGAAGGAAUACCAGUGGCGAAGGCGGCCCCUGGACAAAGACUGACGCUCAGAUGCGAAAGGCUGGGGAGCGAAACAGGAUUAGAUACCCU
This 465-nucleotide ribosomal RNA is filed under the name uncultured bacterium. Its description in RNAcentral is "bacterial SSU rRNA". It matches the Rfam family "Bacterial small subunit ribosomal RNA", at positions 335 to 788 of the family's 1533-position model. The record is from RNAcentral.